UACAGAGGGUGCAAGCGUUGUUCGGAAUUAUUGGGCGUAAAGCGCGUGUAGGCGGCUCUGAAAGUCGGAUGUGAAAGCCCCGGGCUCAACCCGGGAAGUGCAUUCGAAACUGGCGGGCUUGAAUAUGGAAGAGGGUCGCGGAAUUCCCGGUGUAGAGGUGAAAUUCGUAGAUAUCGUGAGGAAGACCAGUGGCGAAGGCGGGUCUCUGGACAGUUCCUGACGCUGAGGCGCGAAGGCCAGGGGAGCAAACGGG
RNAcentral lists this ribosomal RNA (253 nucleotides) under uncultured bacterium. RNAcentral describes it as "partial 16S ribosomal RNA". It matches the Rfam family "Bacterial small subunit ribosomal RNA", at positions 524 to 776 of the family's 1533-position model. The record is from RNAcentral.